UAGUAGUAUUAGUACAUGUAGUACUAGUAAUACUAGUACUACUAGUAAUAGUAGUACAAACUAGUAGUACGUACUAGUCUUACUGGUACUAA
Molecule: transfer RNA, 92 nt
Filed under: Amborella trichopoda
Lineage: Eukaryota; Viridiplantae; Streptophyta; Magnoliopsida; Amborellales; Amborellaceae
Description: tRNA AMTR_s00212t00274930
Source: RNAcentral